UACAGAGGUCCCAAGCGUUGUGCGGAUUCAUUGGGCGUAAAGGGUGCGUAGGCGGUGGGGUAAGUUGGAUGUGAAAUCUUGGGGCUUAACCUCAAAAUUGCAUUCAAUACUGCUCCGCUCGAGUUCUGUAGAGGAGAUUGGAAUUUACGGUGUAGCAGUGAAAUGCGUAGAUAUCGUAAGGAACGCCAGUGGCGAAAGCGAAUCUCUGGGCAGCAACUGACGCUGAGGCACGAAGGCCAGGGGAGCAAACGGG
Molecule: ribosomal RNA, 253 nt
Filed under: uncultured bacterium
Lineage: Bacteria
Description: partial 16S ribosomal RNA
Rfam family: Bacterial small subunit ribosomal RNA
Source: RNAcentral